This 437-nucleotide long non-coding RNA is filed under the name Salmo salar (Atlantic salmon). RNAcentral describes it as "lncRNA (ENSSSAG00000111796.1)". The record is from RNAcentral. Lineage: Eukaryota; Metazoa; Chordata; Actinopteri; Salmoniformes; Salmonidae.
UGCGGAAACAGAUUCUCGCCACGCCACCUGGUAGGAGCGACCUGUCAGGUAGGACGCAAUCCAAGCGUGGGCCGCGCCGGAGAUGCCCAACUCGGAGAGGGUGGAGAGGAGAAUCUGAUGGUUCACAGUAUCAAAGGCAGCAGAUAGGUCUAGAAGGAUGAGAGCAGAGGAGAGAGAGUUAGCUUUAGCAGUGCGGAGAGCCUCCGUGACACAGAGAAGAGCAGUCUCAGUUGAAUGCCCAGUCUUGAAACCUGACUGAUUAGGAUCAAGAAGGUCAUUCUGAGAGAGAUAGCAAGAGAGCUGGCCAAGGACGGCGCGUUCAAGAGUUUUGGAGAGAAAGGAAAGAAGGGAUACUGGUCUGUAGUUGUUGACAUCGGAGGGAUCGAGUGUAGACGGAAGGGACGUAGCCAGCGGUCAAGGAUGCGUUGAUGAGCGAG